AAUGAACGCUGGCGGCAGGCCUAAAACAUGCAAGUCGAGCGCCCUAGCAAUAGGGAGCGGCGCACGGGUGAGUAACACGUGGGAAUAUGCCUUUUGGUACGGAACAACCUCGGGAAACUGAGGCUAAUACCGUAUGGUCCCUUCGGGGUAAAGAUUUAUCGCCAAAAGAGUAGCCCGCGUUGGAUUAGCUAGUUGGUAAGGUAACGGCUUACCAAGGCGACGAUCCAUAGCUGGUCUGAGAGGACGAUCAGCCACACUGGGACUGAGACACGGCCCAGACUCCUACGGGAGGCAGCAGUUAGGAAUAUUGGACAAUGGGCGCAAGCCUGAUCCAGCCAUGCCGCGUGAGUGAUGAAGGCCUUCGGUU
RNAcentral lists this ribosomal RNA (367 nucleotides) under uncultured bacterium. RNAcentral describes it as "bacterial SSU rRNA". It matches the Rfam family "Bacterial small subunit ribosomal RNA", at positions 29 to 423 of the family's 1533-position model. The record is from RNAcentral.